CAAGAACAUAAGGACGGGUGCUCAACAGGGAGGAGGGCACCCUGAAGGUUUUUGUGGGGACACUCUCUGAACGCUGAGAAGGUUCUUGAUGGCCUGCGGGAGCUUCUACCUGGAGUGGAUUCCUAGGACGCCUGGUUGGAGAGGAGCUGAGCGCUCCCACUGUGAACUGCUGAAGCUCUGGAGAGGCUGGAGAACCACAAGACCCCGACUUCUCGAUGGACAAUACUAUCACCUGCCAACGAUGACAGUGAGGGGUUCCACUCUAAUCUUACAUUCCUGUGCUCUUCCUCGUCUCCCCGCCCCGGCGGGAACCCCCAGCCCGGCACUGAGUAGGGCAGCAAUGGUGGGCAUUGUCUUGUUCUUGGUUUCAAUGGGACGCUGGUGAACAUUCAACCCUGAGGUAUGAUGUUGCUAUAGGUUUUGGUAGAUAUUCUUUAUCAGGUUUAGAAAACUCUAUCAUAUUCCUUAUUUAUGAAAAGGUACUAAUCAUGAAUGGAUGUUGAACUUAGGAAAUAGCUUUUGCAGCUAUUGAGAUGAUAAAAGGGUGCUCCUCUCCCCCUUAAAUCCGUUAGUGUGAGAACAUGCAUCAAUGCUGAGCCAAAUUUGCCCUCUGGAGUAAACCUGAUCAGGUCAUGCUAUGCUAUCGCUUUGUGUGCUGUUAGAUUUGGUUUGCUAGUAUUGUUUUGAUUCAUAUGCUUUAAUCAACUUUUUGAGGUUUAAUUUACAUACAAUAAAAUGUGCCCAUUUUAAAUACAGAAGGCAAUGAACCUGACGAAUGCAUGCACCCAUGUAACUGCCACCACAUGGAGAGGGCAUUUCAACCACCUGACGGAGCUCCCUCUGCAGUCAAGCCCCUACCCUCAGCCCCAGCUUUGCUAGUGUUUUGUGUGGGACUUUUGCAUCGAUGAGUAUGUGACACUGUGCUGUAAUUUUGAUCUCACACUUACAUAGCCUAAAAGAAUAA
Equus caballus (horse) is the source of this 964-nucleotide long non-coding RNA. RefSeq lists it as uncharacterized. NCBI's taxonomy places the organism in Eukaryota, Metazoa, Chordata, Mammalia, Perissodactyla, Equidae. The record is from RefSeq and is a predicted model, not a curated record.